ACCGUGGCCAGGCGCGUCUCCUCCAGCUGCUGCAGCCUGCGCACGUGGCUCGCGAGCAGCGGCUGCUGUCGGGGUCCGGUCAGCUCCGCCUCCACCGCCAGCACUUCCCGAGAGGCGGCGGUGAAAGCCUGGGUCACCUCGUGUACCGUGCUCCGGUAGCGCGGGAAGUCGUAAGGCGGGCCGCUGCUCAGGUACUGGCGGUGGCCUCUGUGGCAGGUGGGGGUCCUGAGGCUACGGUCCCAGCUCUCAGUCCCUGCACCCGAAUCGACCACCUGAAAGCCCCCCAAGAAGUGUCCCUGCCCUGGACCCCAGAGUAUGGAGGACGUUGUUCCCAGAUUCUUCCCACGGCGCACCCGUCCCGCGAGCGGGCUGGGUGCUGAACCUUGCGACUUCUCCUUUCCCCUACGCCCACACUUACUCCUCCAGCCGACGGAAGGCCUGCGCGCGCUCAGCCUGCAACUGGUGGAUGCGCUGUACCAGCACCCGGAUCGGGGCAUCUUUCUAUGGGGCGGGGGGCAGGGCUGGGGCAUGAAAACGGCGCCCUCGGGCCUGCACCGCCCACCCCAUGCCUGUUCCCGCUCGGGCUCGAGCUCACCCAAGGCCACACCAGCUCCUCUCUUUCCGGGCCUCCCGUGUUAUCCGCAGCCUCAGGAACCGCGGAGACAGCCGACUCUGCCGCGGCCUCGGCGGUGAUCAUGACUGCGCAGCCCUGGCCCCGCCCGGGAGCAGGUUGCAUCGCUGCGCCAGGCGCCCCCUGGAGGCCCGGAGGCUUCUAGACCCAGCCUGCGGCAGGAAAAACUUGAGCGAUCCUGGGGAAGACUGGGAAGCGAAGACAGCCAGCUUCUCUGUCCUGACACUCUCCAAGCACCCCCCACUCCCUUGUUUCCGUCCAGCGCCUGCCUUCUUAACAUUUUUGAUCUUGAAAUGUACAGGUUCACUAUA
Sus scrofa (pig) is the source of this 942-nucleotide long non-coding RNA. RefSeq lists it as uncharacterized. NCBI's taxonomy places the organism in Eukaryota, Metazoa, Chordata, Mammalia, Artiodactyla, Suidae. The record is from RefSeq and is a predicted model, not a curated record.